Molecule: non-coding RNA, 30 nt
Filed under: Rattus norvegicus (Norway rat)
Lineage: Eukaryota; Metazoa; Chordata; Mammalia; Rodentia; Muridae
Source: RNAcentral
UACUCAGCUACAGAGUGAAUCCCAGACUAC